GUUGACUCAUAACUGUAGGGUACAAGGUAUGGGGUAAGGUGUCUGGUGCAUGUUACUAGGUUGACUCACAGCUGUAGGGUACAGGGCAUGGGGUACGGUGUCCAGUGUAUGUCACUAGGUUGACUCAUAACUGUAGGGUACAGGGCAUGGAGUACGGUGUCCAAUGUAUGUCACUAGGUUGACUCAUAACUGUAGGGUACAGGGCAUGGAGUACGGUGUCCAAUGUAUGUCACUAGGUUGACUCAUAACUGUAGGGUACAGGGCAUGGAGUACGGCAUCCGGUGCAUGUCACUAGAUUGACUCAACUGUAGGGUACAGGGUAUGGGGUAAGGUGUCUGGUGCAUGUCACUAGGUUGACUCACAGCUGUAGGGUACAGGGCAUGGGGUAAGGUGUCUGGUGCAUGUCACUAGGUUGACUCACAGCUGUAGGGUACAGGGUAUGGGGUAUGGUGUCCGGUGCAUGUCACUAGGUUGACUCACAGCUGUAGGGUACAGGGCAUGGGGUACGGUGUCUGGUGCAUGUCACUAGGUUGACUCAUAACUGUAGGGUACAGGGCAUGGAGUACGGCAUCCGGUGCAUGUCACUAGAUUGACUCAACUGUAGGGUACAGGGUAUGGGGUAAGGUGUCUGGUGCAUGUCACUAGGUUGACUCACAGCUGUAGGGUACAGGGCAUGGGGUACAGUGUCCGGUGCAUGUCACUAGGUUGACUCACAGCUAUAGGGUACAGGGCAUGGGGUAUGGUGUCCAGUGUAUGUCACUAG
This 763-nucleotide long non-coding RNA is filed under the name Homo sapiens (human). RNAcentral's name for it is "HSALNT0157218". The record is from RNAcentral. Lineage: Eukaryota; Metazoa; Chordata; Mammalia; Primates; Hominidae.